CACAAUCACAGUGUGUAAUACACAAACUUUAUCAAACACGAGUUUGGUUAACACAAACCUGACAUUAUUUAUCUUUUCUUUUUUCUUCCUUUUUUUUAUUUUAUUUUUUUACUUUUUUGUUGAACCUACAUGUUUUACUUCUGCAUUUAAUUUAAACACAUCUAUCUUAGUUAGGGAUUAAACAGAUGAAAAUUCUCACCGUCCAUCAGAGUAAAAUGAUCCUUAACAGGCUCUGGGUCAAACAGCAAGUCUAGAGGUGCGCUCAGAGCUCUUCCAAUCAGAACCGAGACCAGAAACAACCUUAUGAAAGUGUUGCUUUUGAGCAGCAUGAUGGCCCAGGAACUUCAGUGUGAUGAAGAUGGUCCUCACUGCAAACCUGACUGUGAUGAUUAUACAGUAGACCUGGGACAUACAGUCUUUAAUAGGGAGGUUUGAUUAAAACUCCUUACGUCCACUUUGAAAUGAACCCGUGAGUAAAACAUUUUUGGCUGCAAGGACAUGAAGAGACAGCCGCACUUUCCUGACAGUGUUUUGACCUAUGUGAAGGAGGCUGUAGAGGACCUGAGAGGAGCAGGAGUGUAGCCAUCAUUUCAGAUAACUGUGCACAGCCUAUCAAAAACAGCGUACGCAAAUGUGUUUGACUUGCCGAAUUACUGGAGAACGCAGUUUGAGGAACAUCAUCCAGCUCCUCCGGGGGGAUCCACACACCCUUUCCUUCUGGCACCAGUGAAUACUGGGUUGACGACGCCUUCCAGUCCGUUGUGAUGGUGUUAUUUAUUCAUAUUUAAGUUGCCUUGUUUUAACACAAAGAAGCAACUCUACUCUCCGCUUCUCCAAGAUGGCCGAACUCCUUACAUUAUAAUGGAGAGUGGCUCCGGCCAGUCAGUGUUAGAUCAGCUGUUUAGCAGAAACUUGACUUGAAACAGUAGUUUCAGUUGACUGGACAUGAUUUGGAAAGGCACACACCUGUCUGUAUAAGGUCCCACAGUUAACAAUGCAUGUCAGAGCACAAACCAAGCCAUGAAGUCCAAGGAACUGUCUGUAGACCUCCGAGACAGGAUUGUAUCGAGGCACAGAUCUGAGGAAGGGCAC
This is a long non-coding RNA of Ictalurus punctatus (channel catfish), 1092 nucleotides long. NCBI's taxonomy places the organism in Eukaryota, Metazoa, Chordata, Actinopteri, Siluriformes, Ictaluridae. The record is from Ensembl.